RNA transcript from Schistocerca gregaria, 5046 nucleotides. RefSeq lists it as uncharacterized. Lineage: Eukaryota; Metazoa; Arthropoda; Insecta; Orthoptera; Acrididae. The transcript has 4 exons. The record is from RefSeq and is a predicted model, not a curated record.
AGUAAAAUACUCUAUAAAACAUACUGCUGAUAUAAUAUGCUGAUGAGACGAAAAAUGUUAUGGUGACGUUCAGGACAUGAGUCCCAGGGAUUUAGCCAAAUUUACCUCUGCACACAUACAUCGAAUUCGUUAGGCAUUGAUAUAACUUGGUGCUCAUCAAAAUGAGUUCCCAUCAGGAAAGCAAUGUAGUGAAAAAACUGCCAGAGGAGCCACGCUACCAACAAUACAAUCAACUUCAAUCCAAUAAUUCUAUCAUACCAGCAGAGAUGUCUCAAGCUGGUUUACAGCAAAACAGAAAUAACGAAUUGUUUUAUAAUUCAACUAGCCAUGACUCGUUGGCCAGCAAUAUCCAGGGAUCUUGUUCACUUGAUUAUGCGAAUCGUAAUUUCGGUUGUAACGGAGAUAGAAAUGUAGAUCAGAACUCGCUAGCUCACAAUUAUUCAUAUACUGCACAAACUAAUCAGCCACAGCCGUAUCAACACACACGUUUAGAUGAAUAUCAGUCCCCUCUGCCCAGUUCACAGCAGCCGCACUUAGAUCAAUUCAGCCAAAAUCGGCUAGUUCAGGCCCAGCCGAAUCAAUAUCAACCACAUCCGGCUAACUCCGAGAGACCACAACCUGAUUUAGACCGAAUUAAUCGAUUGUCUGUACAAUUCAAUACGCCAAAAACACAAUUAGUCCAACCUAAUCAGUCACAGCCACAGCCUUAUGCAGCGCAGCAGUCUGACCAGCAAUCUUGGCCGAUGCGACAAUUCAACCAGUCUCAAGCGUAUCUGACACAGCCUGCAUACAAUCAGUCAGCAGGAUCCUAUCCGCCAGCACAAUCAUCUGAUCAAUCGCAGCGUUAUGCUCAAAUGCAACCACCUUAUCAGCCAACUUCUGGUGCAAAUCCGCAACUCUAUAAUCAAUCUCAUGUACAGCCACCACAAUCCGCUGGUCAACCUCAACCAUAUUUACAGAUAAAACAGCCUAGUCAACCAAAAACUUCACAACAUUAUUUGACAAACCAGUUCAAUCAGUCGCCCUCCAAUUCAGCUCAGCAGUAUAGCUACCAACAACCGCAACGUUAUACACAGACACCUAAUCAACCGCAACCCUACUUGCCACAGCCAUCUGGUCAGCCACAGCUUUAUUCUCAGCAAACGCGACCAUCUGGUCAACCACAGCCCUAUUAUUUUCAGCAGCCGCAGCCAUCUGAUCAACCGCAACCUUAUUCUCAGCAAACACAAUCACCUAACCGAGUAUACCAGCAGCCUUAUUCAACGCAACUACCUUCCUAUCCGCAAACACAACAACAGCCGCAGCACUAUGCACAAAAUCCACCUAAUCGACUACAUGCACAAGGUAGGCUGUCCGAUCCGCCACAGCCUUAUGUACAACAACAAGCGCAGUCUUCUAACCAGCAACUCUUUAAUCAGCUACAACCUCACUCAUCAACUCAGCCACCUGGUCGAUCACAGCCUUACUUACCGCCCGGCCAACCUCAAUCUUAUACACCGUCGCUCAGUCAUCCGCAACCCUGUCCGCCGCAGCAGCCUAAUGAGUCGCAACCCUAUACACAACUGCCGUCUAAUCCAUCACAGUCGCAUGCACAAACACAACUGCCUGGCCAAAUGCAGUCCUACGCACAAAAACCAUCUGACGAACUAAAAAAAUACGAGUCGUCGCAGUUUGGGCCGCCGAGAUCAGAUUUUCCCGUCAGCUCAUCGCAGUUCUACUCUGCUCAGUCCGGCGUGGCCGAUCAGUGCCAGACGCGACCCGGCGAGCAAAAACCUUAUCUGGUAGAACAAAAUUCUGAAAGUCAGAAAAUCUCGAGCGAGUCGCAGCAGCCUCUCUCGCAAAAAGAUUGUUUUUCUGACGAGUUGAGGCACUUGAAGUUGUCGGAUGCAAGGAAUGCAGCGGAGGUCAAACCUGGCGACAAUAGGUUUCAACCCAAUCAAAUAGGCGGGCCUUCUGCUGAGAAGGCGCGUCAGCUACAGCCAGAAGGAUUGAACGACAGAAUCGCACAGAGUGAACUCAAGGGUGACAACAGGGGUGCUUUGCCACGAGGGCUGGGAGAGCAGCUGGAAAGCACGAGGCAGAGCGAAUUGCGCAGCCAAUUCGCGGACACUAGUCAGCGAGAAAAAACGCGUAGAGACCCGCGCGAGCCAGUCGCUCUGCCUGAUCACACACAGCCAAAGCAGAGCAUGCAUUCGGAGUUGGAUUACUCCAAUAAGGUCGAAGAUCAGAGCUAUUUGUCACCUUUGAAGGGCAGGAGGAACUGGCCUACAGAGGGCGAGAAAGAUACGCUGAGGCGUCUCUUAGGAGAAGGCGGCAACAUCAUUCACUCCUAUUCUGCAGAAGAAGUCAGCAUUUUUACAAGGUACAUUAACUUUUUACUGAAAGAUGACAGAAGCUUGGAGGUUUUGCCGAUCAAGCCGAAUUGCGAGGAUCUGCUGAGCGUAACAGCAGACGGGGUUUUGAUUUGCAAGUUGAUCAAUCGAGUAAAGCCCGGAAUAAUCAACGACAAAUACAUCACGCUGAAUCCUACAUCAGACAUUCAGCGAAUUGAAAAUCACAAGUUGGCAAUUGCAGGGUCGAGCGCAAUUGGCUGCAAGGUUGUCAACAUUGGUCCUUACGACAUAUUGGAGAAAAGGGCCUAUUUGACGAUAGCUUUCAUCUGGCAGAUCAUUAGAACGUACUUGUUCUCGAAGGUGAGUUCAAAUAGCCGUAACCACCCAGAGUUGGUGGCAUCGGCGGAAAUGGGUGGAGACUCGAAGGGUGUCCUGAAUAAAAAACCAGAAGACAUGUUAAUAAUGUGGUUUAACUCGCGUCUAAAAAUGGCAAGACACAACAGACAGGUUGCCAACUUGGGUUCGGACAUCGCAGACGGCGAAUGCUAUUUGGUCCUGCUUUCUCAGAUUGCGCCUCACGUGGUGCCCAGGGGUGUGCAUUUGCAGGUGCGCGAUGCAGGGAAGAGGGCAAAGAUGGUAUGCGACUACAUAGACCGGAUUUGUGGUUUUAGGCCGCUAGAGCCGUCAGACGUGCUGCGUGGUAACGAGGAGUUGAAUACGGCCGCCUGCGCUGCGCUGUUCGACUGUAGCUUGUCGAUGGACGUGGAGACAAAGACAGGUGAUGCCCGCGCGCAAGAAGAGGAUCGGCUGUCCAGCGAGGCCAAGCGUGAACAAGAAGAGGCCGAGCGCCGCUUGAAGUGGGCAGAGGAGGAGAAGAGACGUCUCUUGGAGCUGAAAUACAAAGAGCAUUCGGUGAAGGAGAAUUUGAAAAGAUUAGAAGAGGAAACGCUCCAUCAACUGGAAGAAGAGAAAAAUAGGAAGAUGCGUGAGCUUGCCAUGCAAGAGGAGCAAUUGAAAUUGCGCCAGGCGGAAUCCGACAAACGCAUGAGAGAGGAGCAAAUGAAGCUGAACCAAAUGUUAAACCAAGUCAAGCAGUUUGAGGCGAAUUUACAAUAUCAGCGAGAUGCAGAAAAAGAAAGACUAUCUCGUAUUGAGAACGACCUUCAUCGCCAGGAUGAGCUGCGUCGGAUGCAACAAGAACAAGAGAGAGCUCGACUAGAGCAAGCCAGACGAGAUCAUCAACAAAGGCAGAUGGAAUUGAAUAGAUACAUACAUACGAUAGUACCUGUCGAUUAUGGCGUAGAGUCGAAUCGUGAUCGGGAACACCAUUAUGAAAUCCCUAAAGUCAACACGACAGCAGAAAAAAAUAAGGUCCCGUCACUUGCAAGCGGUAUUUCUUGGCCGAUUGGCCGUCUUCAAAUUUGCAUUGUCGAAGCUAGGCGUUUGGCUAAGCUUUCUGCUCUAGACCCAGAUCCUUAUGUGUGCGUGACAUUUGGAGACAUGCGCAUUAAAACCCCUAUUGCCAGAGGUACUUUGGACCCUGCGUGGAAUUUUACUUUCGACCUGCGUCAAGUCAACUAUCACCACGAAAUUGUUUUUCAGGUUCUAGAUUACAGACUCAUGGUAAAAGACGCGUUUUUGGGCCAAGUAAAGCUGACAGGCUCCGACAUUUCGAAGUUCAGUGAAAGGUGGUAUCAGUUGCAAAGUCGGCAAUAUAAACUCACUAAAGUUCAGGGGGAACUUUUUAUCAGGCUGUCUAUCGUUACCUAGUUUUUUUUCCAAUGUGGAAAUUUUUCGCCGCGGCGACAACGAGAAGUCUAGCCCUACCCAAGUUCCAGCGACGGCCCGUCCAGGCCGCAACCGCCCAAAGAAGCCCUCACACAGCAGCCAGGUAAUUUAUAGAAAAGCACGCGACCAUUCAGCACGAUUCGAUGCUACCUGAAAGCGGUUUAUAGGACGAUCCAAUGCGUGUGCUCUCUAUUUAUGCGUGUCUUCAGGAUGGCAUUCAAGGAAUGAAACUGUUGCCGCCCCACCUUUUCUCGCUAGGUAUGACGAGUUUGCCGACGGGUUUCGUUCGACAACAGCAAGGAAAGGUUUGAAGCAGCAAGUUACAAUUUUGGACGAGAGGCAUUAACUGACAUUUGCAUGAGCGCGAACAGUCUCUUAAAAAAGUCUCAGAAAAAAAGUUCUCGAGGUCUGAUUUUUGACCUUCUCGAAAAGAACGUCAUCUACUUUUUAGACAUGGAUUUGACAAGAAUCAUGGUCGUUUUUUCGAUCUUCUUCAAAUCCGACUUUUGAUCUGUUUUGUACUUGAUAACCUCAAUACAAACCGUUCAGUCUUUAUCGCUUUUCGAGCAUUUUCUGGUCACUCCGGUUUUGACAUUCUCUUCGACGUACUUUUUUGUUAUCGGUGGCCUUGAGCACGAUGAGCCCUUUGGAAUGGUUGUACUUGAACAAAUACCGCGUCUGAAGAGUUGGCGUGGGUGUAUUGUUAGUGCUAUCUGCGUAUUUGCGAGCGAUGAAGCGAGCCCUCUUUUUUGCGUUGAUACAUUUUUUGCGUCAGAAAUAAGCAUUUCCUCCACGGCGUUGGUGAAAUCGCCCAUGUCCUUCAUGUACAUGGCGUGAUAAGGAGAUUCAAUCUCGAUUUAUUUAUGGUAAGAGUCGGGCGCUCGUCGAUAGAGAAAUAAAACCAGCUACAAUGUGCUUCAAAAAA